Vicia faba (fava bean) is the source of this 237-nucleotide non-coding RNA. The record is from the annotation of a GenBank genome assembly. Lineage: Eukaryota; Viridiplantae; Streptophyta; Magnoliopsida; Fabales; Fabaceae.
AUGCUUCUGAAAAAUGCAGAAGAUACAAUACUGGAUAUAUUGGAUGUUUUAAAUGAGCUUGCCGUUUUCUUAGCUCGGGCUGUAAUUGACGAUGUGCAUGCCCCAUUGAAUUUGGAUGAAACUAACAGUAGUCUACCACCAAACAACAGUGGUAGUGAAACUGUGCGUAUGGCUCGAACACUUGUUUCAGCUUGCCCUGCAGGUGAAAGACUAUUGAAAUGUUUGAACACAAACUGA